CGGGACACGUGGUAUCCUGUCUGAAUAUGGGGGGACCAUCCUCCAAGGCUAAAUACUCCUGACUGACCGAUAGUGAACCAGUACCGUGAGGGAAAGGCGAAAAGAACCCCGGCGAGGGGAGUGAAAAAGAACCUGAAACCGUGUACGUACAAGCAGUGGGAGCACAGAGCAAUCUGUGUGACUGCGUACCUUUUGUAUAAUGGGUCAGCGACUUAUAUUCUGUAGCAAGGUUAACCGAAUAGGGGAGCCGAAGGGAAACCGAGUCUUAACUGGGCGUUAAGUUGCAGGGUAUAGACCCGAAACCCGGUGAUCUAGCCAUGGGCAGGUUGAAGGUUGGGUAACACUAACUGGAGGACCGAACCGACUAAUGUUGAAAAAUUAGCGGAUGACUUGUGGCUGGGGGUGAAAGGCCAAUCAAACCGGGAGAUAGCUGGUUCUCCCCGAAAGCUAUUUAGGUAGCGCCUCGUGAAUUCAUCUCCGGGGGUAGAGCACUGUUUCGGCAAGGGGGUCAUCCCGACUUACCAACCCGAUGCAAACUGCGAAUACCGGAGAAUGUUAUCACGGGAGACACACGGCGGGUGCUAACGUCCGUCGUGAAGAGGGAAACAACCCAGACCGCCAGCUAAGGUCCCAAAGUCAUGGUUAAGUGGGAAACGAUGUGGGAAGGCCCAGACAGCCAGGAUGUUGGCUUAGAAGCAGCCAUCAUUUAAAGAAAGCGUAAUAGCUCACUGGUCGAGUCGGCCUGCGCGGAAGAUGUAACGGGGCUAAACCAUGCACCGAAGCUGCGGCAGCGACGCUUAUGCGUUGUUGGGUAGGGGAGCGUUCUGUAAGCCUGCGAAGGUGUGCUGUGAGGCAUGCUGGAGGUAUCAGAAGUGCGAAUGCUGACAUAAGUAACGAUAAAGCGGGUGAAAAGCCCGCUCGCCGGAAGACCAAGGGUUCCUGUCCAACGUUAAUCGGGGCAGGGUGAGUCGACCCCUAAGGCGAGGCCGAAAGGCGUAGUCGAUGGGAAACAGGUUAAUAUUCCUGUACUUGGUGUUACUGCGAAGGGGGGACGGAGAAGGCUAUGUUGGCCGGGCGACGGUUGUCCCGGUUUAAGCGUGUAGGCUGGUUUUCCAGGCAAAUCCGGAAAAUCAAGGCUGAGGCGUGAUGACGAGGCACUACGGUGCUGAAGCAACAAAUGCCCUGCUUCCAGGAAAAGCCUCUAAGCAUCAGGUAACAUCAAAUCGUACCCCAAACCGACACAGGUGGUCAGGUAGAGAAUACCAAGGCGCUUGAGAGAACUCGGGUGAAGGAACUAGGCAAAAUGGUGCCGUAACUUCGGGAGAAGGCACGCUGAUAUGUAGGUGAAGUCCCUCGCGGAUGGAGCUGAAAUCAGUCGAAGAUACCAGCUGGCUGCAACUGUUUAUUAAAAACACAGCACUGUGCAAACACGAAAGUGGACGUAUACGGUGUGACGCCUGCCCGGUGCCGGAAGGUUAAUUGAUGGGGUUAGCGCAAGCGAAGCUCUUGAUCGA
Molecule: ribosomal RNA, 1514 nt
Filed under: Escherichia coli
Lineage: Bacteria; Pseudomonadati; Pseudomonadota; Gammaproteobacteria; Enterobacterales; Enterobacteriaceae
Description: partial 23S ribosomal RNA
Rfam family: Bacterial large subunit ribosomal RNA
Source: RNAcentral